Molecule: ribosomal RNA, 490 nt
Filed under: uncultured bacterium
Lineage: Bacteria
Description: partial 16S ribosomal RNA
Rfam family: Bacterial small subunit ribosomal RNA
Source: RNAcentral
GAUGAACGCUAGCUACAGGCUUAACACAUGCAAGUCGCGGGGCAGCAUGGGGGUUGCUUGCAAUCCCCGAUGGCGACCGGCGCACGGGUGAGUAACGCGUAUCCAACCUGCCCUUCACCACGGGAUAACCCGGCGAAAGUCGGACUAAUACCGUAUGUUGUCCAUUGACGGCAUCCGAUUUGGACGAAAGGUUUGGCGGUGAAGGAUGGGGAUGCGUCCGAUUAGCUGGACGGCGGGGUGACGGCCCACCGUGGCGACGAUCGGUAGGGGUUCUGAGAGGAAGGUCCCCCACACUGGAACUGAGACACGGUCCAGACUCCCACGGGAGGCAGCAGUGAGGAAUAUUGGUCAAUGGGCGUAAGCCUGAACCAGCCAAGUAGCGUGCAGGAUGACGGCCCUAUGGGUUGUAAACUGCUUUUAUGCGGGGAUAAAGUGGCCCACGUGUGGGUUUUUGCAGGUACCGCAUGAAUAAGGACCGGCUAAUUCCGUG